GCGACGGGUCGGUGGGGCGCGUGCGCGAGCCGGCGCGGGACCCUGUGAGCCUUAGCGUCCCUCACGAGACAUUCGCGUGUGGGCCUCCCCGGCGUGCGGAGGCGCCGGGAACAUUUGGAGUGGUGGUGCCGUGUAAAAGCUCAGUUCGCCUCGAAAACCGACCGCCCACGCACGCAAAAGCAAGCAAGUCCCCUACCUACCUACCUACCGACCGACCGACCGAAGUCUGCCUGCCAGCUUUGGCCGGUGACACAGGCAAGAAUCCGAGAGUGUGUGUGUCAGUGGCUUGUCGCGAGACUGACGAAAAGAUUAUCGGGAUUGUGUGGGAUCCUACGGUGAUGGCACCCGAAGGGGGUAGCGUUUCGCGGAGCCCUCCUCCUCCUCCUUCUCUGCUCGCUGUCUAUUUUUUUUAGUAGGAAGCUCCUGUCUCUCUCUCUCUCUCUCUCGCUCGCUCUCGUGGGGAACUCUGUCUUAUACUUCGCCCUGACGUCGUAGUAGUAGAAGGAGUUCCCGGCGGCGGAUGGGUUCGCUGCUGCUGCGAGUGGUGCCGCUUGUUCGACAUUGGGCUUCUACGCUUGAUAACCCUCCUGGUGCCUUCUUCGACGGACGCGACGGAAGAGACAUUGCUGGUGGACUCUGAUGCAGCCUGGUUGAAUCAAGAUUCGUGGCAUCGCUGAAGAGUCCUGCGGACAGCUGCUGCUGCUGCCUCCUCCUCCUCCUGCAAGGGAUACCCAUGCCCUGUCCUGCUGCAACGUUUCUAGCCGGCGUGGACUAUAAGGCCGAAUGUGCAUUGGAGCGAGCAAGUCGUCACAACAGCGAAGGUCAUCGGCGUAAUAUCCAGG
This is a long non-coding RNA of Macrobrachium nipponense, 842 nucleotides long. RefSeq lists it as uncharacterized. The transcript has 4 exons. The record is from RefSeq and is a predicted model, not a curated record. NCBI's taxonomy places the organism in Eukaryota, Metazoa, Arthropoda, Malacostraca, Decapoda, Palaemonidae.